This is a long non-coding RNA of Anolis carolinensis (green anole), 3553 nucleotides long. RefSeq lists it as uncharacterized. The record is from RefSeq and is a predicted model, not a curated record. NCBI's taxonomy places the organism in Eukaryota, Metazoa, Chordata, Lepidosauria, Squamata, Anolidae. The transcript is spliced from 2 exons.
UGUCCACUCUGUUUCGAUAUGUUUCCUCAUAGCUUGCUAUGUUUGUUUGAUUAAAAGGAAUUAAAACAAAUUGUUGAGUAACUUUUGAGCAACAAGAAAGUAAAAAGGAUUCAUGUUGUGUUUAGAAUUAGUUACUUUUGGAAGAGCCUGGAAACUAUAGUUGGAACUUUAUAUUUUCUGGCUAAACCUCUUCUUUUGCACAUGAGCAGUGUAAGCCACUGAGAGCAGGAGCAUUGGCUCAAGAGAUGUUGCUGCCAGAGGCAGAGGACAAGCUGUCAUUGUAUCCAUUUCAUGUGCAAAGUUGAUUUUUUCUUUAGUACUGGCAAUGAGACAUUGCUGCCUCCACUCAGCAUGUGCUACCUAAGAUAACUAAGAUAACUAUUGGAAACUAUUGACAAGUUUGACCUAUUAAAACAGGAAUGAGCAAGUUUUUUUGUGAGAUAGGCAGCAGCUGAGAGUGCUCUGGAGGGCUCUCAGCCGCCGCGUGCCUUCCUCGACCCCCCUCAAGAUGUCUUCCUGGCAUAAGAAUGGGACCGUUUGCACCAUUUUUAUGCUGGGAGGAGACACACAAUGGCUGAGAGUGCUCCAGAGGGUUCUCAGUUGCUGUGUGCCUUCCUCCCCAAUCUUUUUGGCAUAAGAACAUGCCAGGCUACUGUGCCAAGAGGACAGGAAAAAUGAGGAAGGCCUGAGGUAAACACCCAGUGCCUUAGUUUGCCCAUGCCUGCAUUAAUAGGUUUGGGAUAACUAUGUAAUGCUCUGGACCAGCUUGGAUUUUGUGGCCCAUGUAGAUGUAGCUCUUGCUCCAUGCUUAGUUUACUUCCUUUGAUGGAAACUCAUUUCAAAGUGCAAAAGUAAUUUGGAUUCAGGAGAGGAGAGAAAGAUAAAAGGCAGAAUCUUGCCCUCCCCAGUAGACUCAGUCAAAAAACUAACUGCUGCAGCUUUUCUUAGCUUGUAUAGCUUUCCAUGUCAAUAACUUUUACCAUCAUUACACUCCACAGUUGCCUAGCCACACAUGGCCAGGAUUUGUGGCAAGGAAGUAUUACCAACUCUUCAAUGUUUCACAGAUAAAUGUUGAAGAGUAGGUAGUACUUCCCAGCCAAAAAUAAAUCAAAAAUUGCCUCUCAAAGGAAAUAGUCAUUUGUCAAACUGACUGUUGACUCUUCUUUUCUAAAGGAAAAAAAAGGUUCAUCCUCAGGGAAAUUACUAAGUGGUUAAGAAAAACCUGUCUGCCUUGUGCAAAGUCCCUCUUUUUUCACCUCCUUCCCUUUGUUCUUCCUUUUUGGUGCCUCCCCAAUGUAUGGGAUAGUUUAUUAGUAUUUGCAUGCAUAAAUAAAACAAUGGCAGAGCAUGGGAAGAAUAAUAUUUAUCCUUCAAUGAUAUUUCCUAGCUAAAUAUUUAUCAAGUUAACACAAACAGAUCCUAUGCACAUAGCUAAGUGAGGACAAUUCAGAGGUGUUUGAUGUGUUUCCCUUGCAGAGAAGCCCCCAAAGAAACAUAUACUCAAACAGUUUUGACAACCUUUUGUGUGUGUCCACAAUUUUACUUGCUUCACUAGCCAAAAACAAGCACAGGUUUGGAAGGUUAGAACACAAGAAUUUAUUAGGAAAAAAAAGCACAAAUCAGGAAAUGCAGAGUUCCACUUAAAGCCGGCAAGUACUGCCAAGGCCGGCCUUAGGUAAUUUUCAAGUGUAGGUGAAGAGAAUUUUGACACCCCCCCCCAAACCAAUCACUGAAAAAUAAAAGCGUUGGAUAACUGAAAAUGUUGGAUAAUAAGGAGGGAUUAAGGAAAAGACUAUUAAACAUCAAAUUACAUUAUGAUUUUACAUAUUAAGCACCAACACAUCAUCAACAGAAAAACCAGUUCAAUACAUGGUAAUGUUAUGUAGGAAUUACUAUAUUUGCGAAUUUAGCACAAAACAUUGAACAGGGAUAUAGGGCAGUGUGGACUUAGAUAACUCAGUUCAAAGCAGAUAUUGUGGGUUAUUGUGCUUUGAUAUUCUAGGUUAUAUGGCUGUGUGGAAGAGCCCUGAUGGUCCUUCCACACAGCCAUAUAACCCAGAAUAUCAAGGCAGAUAAUUAAAAGGCCACCAAAGGGGAAUCAGCCCCCCCCCCCCGGUAUUAAAAAAAACUCUAAAAUCAGGGAAAUCCAGACAGUAAACAAUCAGGGACAGCUAACACCUCCCAAAAAAGAUUCUCCCAGGCAAGAAGAAGCCAGGCCUUGAAGCCACAGGGCCAUUAAAUGCUAAUCAAGGUGAUUAAUUACAACAUUCACACCUGCUUCAAAGAAGAGUUCUUUCUCCUACCCUGGACCUUCUACCCCACUUACCUAGCUUCCAAGUUCCCACAGACCUCACAAUCUCUGAAGGCCCCAAAGGCGGGCCCGCACGGCGCUGAGGGGGCCCAUGCCUGCCAGAAGGCCCAGCGCAGGCACCGGAAGGCCCAGCGCGAGCACUGGAAGGCCUAAAGGAGAAGGAGUCGGGGGACAAUGGUGCCACAGGCAAGUGCCUAAUUCGCCUCACGGUUGGACUGCCUCUGAGUCCUGCUAAACAAAGGUUGCAUUACAUUAUAUAUUUCUUGAGUACCCAUUGACUGACAUUCUUCCCAAAAGUAUUUCCUUAUUAUGGUAUGUUUCCCAAUUGGUUCUGUCCCCGCUCUCCUAUCAGUACAUGCUUUCUCAGUUCAUAUGUAACUCACUAUUUAACUCUAAUUCCCCAAAUUCUUUCUGUCAAGCCCUUCAGUUUGAUGUAAUAACUUGUAUAGGACCAAAGAAAGUGUCUGUCUAAUACCAGGUACGAGCUAGUACAGUCAUCCCUCCACAUUUGUAGUUUUGAUUUUUGUGGAUUUGAUUAUUCCUGGAUUUGAUUUAAAAUGUUCUCUCUAAGAAACUCUAGGUUCUCUAGUACAAUUCUAUGGUCAGCUUCCUCCAGUCAUUAUGGAAAAUCUAGAGAUUUCAGAAAGAGCAUCUGUCUAGGAAUCUCUAGGCCCUCCAAUGUUAUUUUAUGACCAUCUUCCAGUGGAAGUUUAUCACAAAUUCAUGCUGGAAGACCUAGAAAUUCUCCGAGACAUGCUCUCCUGGGUAAAAAUAUACAUAUAGAUUUUGCUUUAUUCUUGAUUUUUUUUUCAUUUUCACAGGUUCCUGUGUGCCUAACCCCAAUGAAUACAGAGGUCUGUUAUCUUCCUCCUAAGGGUAGGGCAAUAGCAGUUGGGAAGGAAUGAGGACCUUUCCUCUGCUUCCAACACCAGGCAUGAUGGAAUUGAAAAUUAAUACAACACAUAAGCCCUGGAACACUGUGUGCUCCCUCUCUUCCUGUUUUUACAUCAUUCAACUGCUCAAUGCUCUAUACAACUUGUUCUGGUUAAAAAAAGGAAGUGAGGACUUCAAAGCUAAAGUCUGACUUCAGAGGUGAACAUAAAGGCCUGACUUGAAUCGGAUAUGUUUCAAGAGUUCUGCCAUUUUCACACAUGUAGCAGUGUGCAAAUUGGGACUUGGAAAAAAGGCAAUUGUUGGACUUUUCACAGCUGUGUAUGUACCAAAUAAAAAUUAUUUCCAGAA